This 472-nucleotide ribosomal RNA is filed under the name Macrococcoides caseolyticum. RNAcentral describes it as "bacterial SSU rRNA". It matches the Rfam family "Bacterial small subunit ribosomal RNA", at positions 21 to 484 of the family's 1533-position model. Lineage: Bacteria; Bacillati; Bacillota; Bacilli; Caryophanales; Staphylococcaceae. The record is from RNAcentral.
GGCUCAGGAUGAACGCUGGCGGCGUGCCUAAUACAUGCAAGUCGAGCGAACGGACAGGAGUGCUUGCACUCCUUGAAGUUAGCGGCGGACGGGUGAGUAACACGUGGGUAACCUACCUAUAAGACUGGGAUAACUUCGGGAAACCGGAGCUAAUACCGGAUAAUAUAUACCUCCGCAUGGAGGAAUAGUCAAAGACGGUUCUGCUGUCACUUAUAGAUGGACCCGCGGUGUAUUAGCUAGUUGGUGAGGUAACGGCUCACCAAGGCAACGAUACAUAGCCGACCUGAGAGGGUGAUCGGCCACACUGGGACUGAGACACGGCCCAGACUCCUACGGGAGGCAGCAGUAGGGAAUCUUCCGCAAUGGACGAAAGUCUGACGGAGCAACGCCGCGUGAGUGAAGAAGGUUUUCGGAUCGUAAAACUCUGUUGUAAGGGAAGAACAAGUACGUUAGUAACUGAACGUACCUGACG